GAUGAACGCUGGCGGCGUGCCUAAUACAUGCAAGUCGAGCGAACAGAUAAGGAGCUUGCUCCUUUGACGUUAGCGGCGGACGGGUGAGUAACACGUGGGUAACCUAUCUAUAAGACUGGAAUAACUCCGGGAAACCGGGGCUAAUGCCGGAUAACAUGUUGAACCGCAUGGUUCUACAGUGAAAGGCGGCUUUGCUGUCACUUAUAGAUGGACCCGCGCCGUAUUAGCUAGUUGGUGAGGUAACGGCCUACCAAGGCAACGAGUCGUAGCCGACCUGAGAGGGUGAUCGGCCACACGGGAACUGAGACACGGUCCAGACUCCUACGGGAGGCAGCAGUAGGGAACCUUCCGCAAAGGGCGAAAGCCUGACGGAGCAACGCCGCGUGAGUGAUGAAGGUCUUCGGAUCGUAAAACUCUGUUAUUAGGGAAGAACAAAUGCGUAAGGAACUGUGCGCGUCUUGACGGUACCUAAUCAGAAAGCCACGGCUAACUACGUG
Molecule: ribosomal RNA, 497 nt
Filed under: uncultured bacterium
Lineage: Bacteria
Description: partial 16S ribosomal RNA
Rfam family: Bacterial small subunit ribosomal RNA
Source: RNAcentral